CCUACGGGAGGCUGCAGUAGGGAAUUUUCGGCAAUGGGGGCAACCCUGACCGAGCAACGCCGCGUGGAGGAUGAAGGUUUUAGGAUUGUAAACUCCUUUUGUUAGAGAAGAUUAUGACGGUAUCUAACGAAUAAGCACCGGCUAACUCCGUGCCAGCAGCCGCGGUAAUACGGAGGGUGCAAGCGUUAUUCGGAAUCACUGGGCGUAAAGAGUGCGUAGGCGGGGUAAUAAGUCAGAUGUGAAAUCCUGUAGCUUAACUACAAAACUGCAUUUGAAACUGUUACUCUGGAGUGUGGGAGAGGUAGGUGGAAUUCUUGGUGUAGGGGUAAAAUGCGUAGAGAUCAAGAGGAAUACUAAUUGCGAAGGCGACCUGCUGGAACGUUACUGACGCUGAUGCACGAAAGCGUGGGGAGCAAACAGGAUUAGAUACCCUUGUAGUC
Molecule: ribosomal RNA, 440 nt
Filed under: uncultured bacterium
Lineage: Bacteria
Description: partial 16S ribosomal RNA
Rfam family: Bacterial small subunit ribosomal RNA
Source: RNAcentral